GCCCCGUUUGUCUUAGCUAGACUAUUUAAAACAGAUAGCGCUCACACCCUUAAUCCUAUACCCUUAGGCCUAACAUUAUACCACCAAUCAAUUUUGGCAUCACACUCUCUAGAAGUAGGUAAGUAGAGAAACAGAGAAGUUCAAGUUCUCAUAAUGAACAGCAAAGUUCUUUAGCAAACAGCAGAACCUGAGUACAGCAAUCUGACUCCAGAACCUCAGUUCCUAACUGUUCCACCAUGCUGGCUUCUAUGGGUACGCAUUAGAUUGUUCCUUCCGUGAUCUCACUCGGGGGUGAGCUAUUCAGUCGGAGAAAUAGAGCUCCGGGGACAGCAACCUGAAAUCAAUCAAAAGCAUUGUGAGAACAAGAGAUUUCGAAGCAACCGGCCAGGUCUCCAGGAAGUCACUCAGGCAGGAGCUGGGGAACUGUACAAAAUGGCGACAGGGGUGGAGCAAGAGGAUCUGUGAAGGACGUGAAGCUUUGACCAGGCUGUGCGGCAGGCUGUAUUAUGAUUGGCUGGAGGCACUGUUCUGCUGCCUUCUCUGUGUCCUGUGACAUCACUUACGUGUCUCACCGUUAGCAGACUCUCAACCCCCAGCCUUUCUUUCUGUCUAGAUCCAGGAACAGGAGGGCCACACCCAACAGCUAUAAAGGCAGGAAGCAUCCACAAGACUGAAGCACAAAAACAUGAAAACCAAGUGUGUGUGCACAACGUUCCAACUAACCGUCAUGCAGAAGUCUGUUUCACACACAUCAGAUGCCUACAUGGUGUUAUAGACCUAUAAUCCCAGCUGUCUGGAGGCUGAGGCAGUAGGAUCUCAAGUUCUAGACCAGCCUGAGCUACAUGGUGACCAGUCUCAAACAACCAAAGGAAAAUUUAAAAAAACAUAUAUAUACUCUUUUCUAUUUUUCUCUUUCUUUUUAAUUUAAAAACCUUUUUCUCAUUUAUACAAGGAUAUAUAGGAUUUCAAGGGCC
This 974-nucleotide long non-coding RNA is filed under the name Heterocephalus glaber (naked mole-rat). RNAcentral's name for it is "lncRNA (ENSHGLG00100033284.1)". The record is from RNAcentral. Lineage: Eukaryota; Metazoa; Chordata; Mammalia; Rodentia; Bathyergidae.